AAGGAGAAUUACCUACUGUUUAAUUUUGAGGGUUCGUUUUUACGAAUACUCAAAAUUAGCACUUUUAGCAACGGGAUUUAUCCGUUGGCGCCGUGCUUUAGCACUUUGAAAACUGCAUAUAUAUUUAGUGAUAUGACAUCUAAUUUGUAAUAUAUAAAGCUGAUAACUUUUUAAAAUUAUCGAAGUUGAUAGCUUCUAAUCUAUCAAACCUUUUUAAC
This 218-nucleotide unclassified non-coding RNA is filed under the name Clostridioides difficile. RNAcentral's name for it is "16S-23S ribosomal RNA intergenic spacer". The record is from RNAcentral. Lineage: Bacteria; Bacillati; Bacillota; Clostridia; Peptostreptococcales; Peptostreptococcaceae.